GGCCGGUAUAGGCCUAAGAUGUCAUGGGUACCUGAGGUUUAACUUAAUCAUUUAAUGUUAAAAUAGAAGCUUUAUUCAUACUCAUCUUCGAAAAUGAGUAUAAUAGUUAUAUGCAGUUACUUCCGCGGUUUCUCUAGAACAGGAUAAGUGUAAUUCACCUUUGUCUGCAACCAGUUACAGACAAGAGUGAAAAGCAGGUAGUCAAUAUCAUCAGCUGACAACUUGGGCUGCUCUUA
Molecule: long non-coding RNA, 236 nt
Organism: Limulus polyphemus (Atlantic horseshoe crab)
Lineage: Eukaryota; Metazoa; Arthropoda; Merostomata; Xiphosura; Limulidae
Exons: 3
Source: RefSeq, a predicted model, not a curated record